RNAcentral lists this long non-coding RNA (489 nucleotides) under Brassica napus (rape). RNAcentral's name for it is "long non-coding RNA (BNAP_LNC025795)". The record is from RNAcentral. Lineage: Eukaryota; Viridiplantae; Streptophyta; Magnoliopsida; Brassicales; Brassicaceae.
AGCAUAAUAUAAAACUUUGCAUGUAAACAGCUUAAUAUAAAACUAUGCGUAUAAGUUUACGAUGAACAACACUAUAGUGACAACAUAAUUACAAUGCGGCGAACGAACAAAAGAGCAUGCCACAGUCUUGGAAACUUGGGAGAACAACUCUAAACUACUACACAAUAAACAUUUAUAUUACUAAAAACGAAGUAUACCAUGCGUCUAAAGUAUUGAAACACCACUACCUCACGUAGAUUUUGACGAGUACGGCUGAUUGUUGAAUCCCUAUAAAUUGUUCAUUAUGAACAAAUUAAAAGGGAAUGAAUAAGAAUAUAUAAAUAACAGCUAUAACAAAAGUAUAUAAAUAUAUGUUGAAGAAAACAAUUAAACCUUGGUAGUAACAGGUACACUUUGUUGAUUGCCACCGCUAGUUUCUCCUGGGGUAAAAGCAACGAACCGCGGCAUGAUGAAGAUGGGAGGGCUAAAAGGGAACCAUGGUGCCGGAAA